AUUGAACGCUGGCGGCAUGCCUUACACAUGCAAGUCGAACGGCAGCACGGGUGCUUGCACCUGGUGGCGAGUGGCGAACGGGUGAGUAAUACAUCGGAACAUGUCCUGUAGUGGGGGAUAGCCCGGCGAAAGCCGGAUUAAUACCGCAUACGAUCUACGGAUGAAAGCGGGGGACCUUCGGGCCUCGCGCUAUAGGGUUGGCCGAUGGCUGAUUAGCUAGUUGGUGGGGUAAAGGCCUACCAAGGCGACGAUCAGUAGCUGGUCUGAGAGGACGACCAGCCACACUGGGACUGAGACACGGCCCAGACUCCUACGGGAGGCAGCAGUGGGGAAUUUUGGACAAAGGGCGAAAGCCUGAUCCAGCAAUGCCGCGUGUGUGAAGAAGGCCUUCGGGUUGUAAAGCACUUUUGUCCGGAAAGAAAUCCUUGGCCCUAAUACGGUCGGGGGAUGACGGUACCGGAAGAAUAAGCACCAGCUAACUACGUG
Molecule: ribosomal RNA, 486 nt
Filed under: uncultured bacterium
Lineage: Bacteria
Description: partial 16S ribosomal RNA
Rfam family: Bacterial small subunit ribosomal RNA
Source: RNAcentral